UCCCAAAAAGUUAUAUAAAUUAGCCAUGAGGCGGUGGCAAAAACACAAUGAAAUCACCAACAAACAAACCCAUUUCCAAGUUGCAACUGAAGAAACUUGUAAUCAAAGAUGUCAAAGAUGGAGGUAAGAAUUGUAUCAAAGGAAGUUGUAAAGCCAUCUUUCCUUGAAAUCACAGAAGCCAAACCUCAACACAAGCUCUGCCUUUUCGACCAGCUCACUCCCUUAACAUUCUUCCCCAUCAUCCACUUUUACCCAUACAAUGAUCACCACCACUCCAGCAAUAUCAUCAUUGCUCACCUGAAACGCUCGCUUCAAAACUCUGGACAUCUACUAUCCUUUCUCAGGCAGGACCGACUCUUCGAAUUUGUUCGUCCACAGCUUCAACAGAGGUCUCCCUUUCACUCACGCCCAAGUCAAUUCCAGCAUUUCCCGUUUCCUGAAACUCCACCAGCAGAACAACGAGCUUCUCAACCUCUUCCUCCCCCGUCAGCCGUUCCAGAAGGAAGAACCCGAAGAUGAGGAUUACCCUAUUAUGGAGCUUCAACUCUCUGUUUUCUCGUGCGGCGGAAUCGCCUUGGGUUGGACUUCUUCCCACAAGUUGAUCGAUGGAUCCACUCUGCAUUUUCCCGCGGUUUCCCAAACGAUGUCGUUUCUCCCAACUUCACCCUCGCGGCUGAGCUCUUCCCUCCGAGAAACCCUCCCCCUGAAAGAUUCGUCAAAUUCAUGGAGGCUCUUUGGUUUACCGAAGCAAAUUACGUCACCAGACGAUUCGUUUUCUCUCCAUCUUCAAUUUCUCGGAUUAAAUCCAUGGUUCCGAUUAAGCUGUCCAGAGUGAAUGAAUGCCCUGUCCUGCUUUAUAUGGCAACGCGCCAUGGCAGCAUCGUCGGUUGUCUCCUCCGCCGUCACCGGCGAGAGGACGUCAGUUCUGGUGGAGGCGGUGAUUCAUAUUCUUACAAGUCCUUCUGGAUAUGGGCAUAUCGCUAGUGGCUGGGUACGAGUAGUUACCUAACAAAAUGUGCAUAGUUCAGAGUGAUUGAACUCCGAACCUAAAGUCAACUGGUUUGACCGGGACUGAGAGGUACUGCUCCAACAACAAAAUAAGACUUCCUGUUCGUCAUAUCUUACAACCUUCAACUAUUGAUACCUCCCCGGUCAUUCCUACCACAAAACGUGAGCUUUCCAUCAUCUUUUACCCAUCUUAUCAUUCAACAGACCCAUGACGAAAUAAGAGCAGUGGCAACAUUAGUGUACUAUAGAUCAACAUCAAUUGCAGAUGCAAUACACUAACUGCAAGUCUGUAACAACCAAUUUGCGUUUAUGCUUAUUCAUGGCCCUAACCGGCCUAGCCAUCCCUUGCGAACAAAAGAUGAAUACAUUAUCAAUACAAUAAAUUAUAUGAGUACGCCUACCGGAUAGGGGUAGGCACAAACCGGUUUGAAACCACACCGAACCGCAAAAAAUUUAAUCAGCAGCGCACCGAACCGUGCGCAUUGCGGUUUCAUAUGCAGUGCGGUUUUAUUCCAAUUAGUAGGUCGUGGUUCGGUGCGGUUUUAAACAAUAAACUGAAAAUAAAAGCUCUUCUAUGAAAGUAUUAGUUUAUUGAGACUAUUUACAAGUACCUACCUCUUUUUUCUUUGUUUCUACAACUACUAUAAUGAGUUGAACAUACGUUUAUGACGAUCGAGACAAUCUAUCGAAAUAAGACUUUCAAAAAAACGAAACAAACCCAAAAACCUGAUGGAUUAGUUACCUAGCCGACCAAUUGAUCACAAGGUCGAAGGGAGGGCUAAUUCUCACAAAGUUGAAGGUGCCACGAAGAGGGGGCGAUAACCCGACUACGAUAAACCGAAUCCGCUAUUCUAGCAACAAUGUGCUAAACAUAAAACGAAUGCAAAACAGCUCUAGGCUGACAUUGCUUUGAUUAAUUCAAGGGGGUAUGAUAAACUAUUGUGGCUGCAUCUUCUUUAUAUAGGAGAGGGAGGCCAAAGAAUUACAUGGAAAAUAAGUAGAC
This 2011-nucleotide long non-coding RNA is filed under the name Linum usitatissimum (flax). RNAcentral's name for it is "long non-coding RNA (LUSI_LNC003878)". The record is from RNAcentral. Lineage: Eukaryota; Viridiplantae; Streptophyta; Magnoliopsida; Malpighiales; Linaceae.